UGGUGGUUCAUCUUAGCUGUUGCUGCUGCUGCCGUUGUUGUCGUCAUCGUCAUCGGUGGUAAUUACCUCUUUAUAAAAUGUAACAAGAAGAAGAGUUUGAAUAAACUGACUGGGCAUGACUCUGGUGAAGAUGAGACCAAUGAGACCAGUAUCCCUCUUACAACAAUCACAAUAAACCAUCAUGAAACAUAAACAUUUUUCAUGAGAAGGAUGUCAGACUGAUGAAUGUCUCAAGACCUCAGGAUGGUUUGCAUCUGUGGAGACCUGAUUUCAGAGAAGAAGAAAGAAAAAAACAAAA
Molecule: long non-coding RNA, 298 nt
Organism: Xiphophorus couchianus (Monterrey platyfish)
Lineage: Eukaryota; Metazoa; Chordata; Actinopteri; Cyprinodontiformes; Poeciliidae
Exons: 3
Source: RefSeq, a predicted model, not a curated record